CCUACGGGAGGCAGCAGUGGGGAAUAUUGCACAAUGGGGGAAACCCUGAUGCAGCGACGCCGCGUGAAGGAAGAAGUCUUUCUGUAUGUAAACUUCUAUCAGCCGGGAAGAAAAUCACGGUACCUGACUACGAAGCCCCGGCUAACUACGUGCCAGCAGCCGCGGUAAUACGGAGGGGGCAAGCGUUAUCCGGAUUUACUGGGGGUAAAGGGGGCGUAGGCGGUUUAGCAAGUCAGAAGUGAAAGCCCGGGGCUCAACGCCGGGACUGCUUUUGAAACUGUUGAACUAGAUUGCAGGAGAGGUAAGUGGGAUGCCUAGUGUAGCGGUGAAAUGCGUAGAUAUUAGGAGGAACACCAGUGGCGAAGGCGGCUUACUGGACUGUAAAUGACGCUGAGGCUCGAAAGCGUGGGGAGCAAACAGGAUUAGAUACCCUUGUAGUC
This 440-nucleotide ribosomal RNA is filed under the name uncultured bacterium. Its description in RNAcentral is "partial 16S ribosomal RNA". It matches the Rfam family "Bacterial small subunit ribosomal RNA", at positions 338 to 795 of the family's 1533-position model. The record is from RNAcentral.